Molecule: ribosomal RNA, 253 nt
Filed under: uncultured bacterium
Lineage: Bacteria
Description: partial 16S ribosomal RNA
Rfam family: Bacterial small subunit ribosomal RNA
Source: RNAcentral
UACGUAGGGGGCUAGCGUUGUCCGGAAUCAUUGGGCGUAAAGCGCUUGUAGGCGGCUUGUUAAGUUCCGUGUGAAAUCCCCAGGCUUAACCUGGGAAGUGCGCGGAAAACUGGCGAGCUUGAGUGCCGGAGAGGGUCGCGGAAUUCCCGGUGUAGAGGUGAAAUUCGUAGAUAUCGGGAGGAACACCAGUGGCGAAGGCGGCGACCUGGACGGACACUGACGCUGAGACGCGAAAGCGUGGGGAGCAAACAGG